This 457-nucleotide ribosomal RNA is filed under the name uncultured bacterium. RNAcentral describes it as "bacterial SSU rRNA". It matches the Rfam family "Bacterial small subunit ribosomal RNA", at positions 340 to 784 of the family's 1533-position model. The record is from RNAcentral.
UACGGGAGGCAGCAGGGGGGAAUAUUGCACAAUGGGCGAAAGCCUGAUGCAGCUAUGCCGCGUGUAUGAAGAAGGCCUUAGGGUUGUAAAGUACUUUCAUCGGGGAGGAAAAAACAAAACUAAUAAUUUUAUUUCUUGACGUUACCCGAAAAAGAAGCACCGGCUAACUCCGUGCCAGCAGCCGCGGUAAUACGGAGGGUGCUAGCGUUAAUCAGAAUUACUGGGCGUAAAGAGCACGUAGGUGGUUUUUUUAAAGUCAGAUGUGAAAUCCCUGGGCUUAACCUGGAACUGCAUUUUGAAACUGAAAUACUAGAGUAUCGUAGAGGGAGGUAGAAUUCUAGGUGUAGCGGUGAAAUGCGUAGAUAUCUGGAGGAAUACCUGUGGCGAAAGCGGCCUCCUAAACGAAUACUGACACUGAGGGUGCGAAAGCGUGGGGAGCGAAACAGGGAUUUAGAUA